Sus scrofa (pig) is the source of this 947-nucleotide non-coding RNA. NCBI's taxonomy places the organism in Eukaryota, Metazoa, Chordata, Mammalia, Artiodactyla, Suidae. The record is from RefSeq and is a predicted model, not a curated record.
UUCCAAGAGGGUCACUCUUUUUGGUCUUUUUUUUUUUUUUUUUAGGUCUGCACCUACUGCAUGUGGAGGUCUGCAGGCUACGGGGUGGAUAGGAGCUGAAGCCGCCGGCCUGUGCCACAGGCACAGCCACCCAGGAUCUGAGUCCCGUCUGCACCCUACACCACAGCUCAUGGCAAUGCCAGAUCCUUAACCCACUGAGCAAAGCAGGGAUCGAACCCGCCUCCUCACGGAUGCUAGUCAGGUUCAUUAACCACUGAGCCACGACGGGAGCUCCCCAAGAGGGUUGCUUUUGAAAAAUCUAGUUUAAAAUAUCUUUAUCUGCAGAGUUGGUCUUUAUAUUUCACGACUGUGAAUUUUUUUUCUUUUUUUGGUUGUGCAUGUGGCAUUCGGAAGUUCCUGGGCCAGCGAUCCAACCUGAGCCACGGCUGUAUUAACACCGGAUCCUUCACCCACGGAACCGCCAGGACUAUGACAUUUCCGAGGUGACUUGGGAAAACAUCCCUCGGUUUGGGUGGGUGCCUCGAUCCAUCUCCGCGCUCUGGGCAGGACCGCAUCGGAACGGAUGCUCUUUGCUGCUCUCACCGCGUCUUAUCUGAAGGCACGCGACACCUGUUGUCCCAGCGCUGGUGGCAGGCACGCUCAUCUUUCAGAGUCUUCUGGACUUGGCAGCGGGAGCCCCUUCAGCCGCGUCCCGCCUUUUGAGCCCCCAUCACGCAUCAUCCUUCCUUCCCUUCUGCCCCUGCUGGAGAUUCCAGCCACAGCAUGUCCUGCCCCAGCCCUGGAAAUGAGCCGUUUCUCCAAAAGCCCUGGUCCCUCUAGAAGCGAAUGGAACUUAGAAAACCAAGAUCUGGGCACUGGCUGUGCUCGUUGUUUGUUUAUGAGCCCUUUUGGCAAACGGCUAAGACACACGCACACCUAUUUCUAUAUUAAAAAUCAUGGAUUCAGGA